CUGCGGAAGGAUCAUAGUUAUGGAGAGGAUCGGCUCCCCUCGCCGGGACCGCCUCGUUUCCACUCUGGAUGCAAUGCGCCCUCAUCGGCGCUAGUCUUGGCCCUCCGGGGCCUCGACACACCUUUGUAAUCCUUAUCAUGCCCAACUCGAAAUACCAGAGAUCAUUACAACCAGUAGCGUUGGAUCCCUUGGCACGUCAUUCGAUGAAGACCGUUGCAAAAUGCGAUAAGUGGUGUGAUAUGCAAGUCCAAAACUUAUACGUGAACCAUCGAAUUGUUGAACGCACUGCAUCGAGCCUUACCCAGGAACGAUACGCCCCAUUGAGCGUCAUUAUGUCUUCGCGACUCGUCACUUUAGUCGGUGACCUGUCCGGGUUCGGGAUCCAUGGCCCUCGGGUCGCGUUUCCUCAGAUACAUGGUCGCGCCGGAGCCGACGGUGACCUUGUCAUGAAUGUCGAGGUGUGCCGGACCGUUUCGAGCGCAAGAUCCUCUGCCCUGCACUGGAUCAGAUGCGACCGCGCAAGCGGGAGCGACUUCUCCACAUGACCUCACGGGGGUGGGACGACCCGCUAGACUUAAGCAUAUCAAUA
This 589-nucleotide ribosomal RNA is filed under the name Tulasnella sp. HJ24T. RNAcentral describes it as "eukaryotic LSU rRNA". The stretch from base 169 to 330 matches the Rfam family "5.8S ribosomal RNA". The record is from RNAcentral. Lineage: Eukaryota; Fungi; Basidiomycota; Agaricomycetes; Cantharellales; Tulasnellaceae.